This 475-nucleotide ribosomal RNA is filed under the name uncultured bacterium. RNAcentral's name for it is "SSU rRNA". It matches the Rfam family "Bacterial small subunit ribosomal RNA", at positions 26 to 518 of the family's 1533-position model. The record is from RNAcentral.
AGAGCGAACGCUGGCGGCAGGCCUAACACAUGCAAGUCGAACGAGAAAGUGGAGCAAUCCAUGAGUAAAGUGGCGACCGGGUGAGUAACACGUGACUAACCUACCUUCGAGUGGGGGAUAACCUCGGGAAACCGGGGCUAAUACCGCAUAAAAUCUUUGGAUCGGAAGAACUGGAGAUCAAUGGAGCAAUUCGCUUGAAGAGGGGGUCGCGGCUGAUUAGCUAGUUGGCGGGGUAAUGGCCCACCAAGGCUUUGAUCGGUAGCCGGCCUGAGAGGGCGCACGGCCACACUGGAACUGAAACACGGUCCAGACUCCUACGGGAGGCAGCAGUGGGGAAUUUUGCGCAAUGGGGGAAACCCUGACGCAGCAACGCCGCGUGGAGGAUGAAGUCCCUUGGGACGUAAACUCCUUUCGACCGGGACGAUUAUGACGGUACCGGUGGAAGAAGCCCGGCUAACUUCGUGCCAGCAGCCGC